Molecule: ribosomal RNA, 514 nt
Filed under: uncultured Bifidobacterium sp.
Lineage: Bacteria; Bacillati; Actinomycetota; Actinomycetes; Bifidobacteriales; Bifidobacteriaceae
Description: bacterial SSU rRNA
Rfam family: Bacterial small subunit ribosomal RNA
Source: RNAcentral
GGGUGGUAAUGCCGGAUGUUCCAGUUGGUCGCAUGGCCUUCUGGGAAASSUUUCGCGGUAUGGGAUGGGGUCGCGUCCUAUCAGCUUGACGGCGGGGUAACGGCCCACCGUGGCUUCGACGGGUAGCCGGCCUGAGAGGGCGACCGGCCACAUUGGGACUGAGAUACGGCCCAGACUCCUACGGGAGGCAGCAGUGGGGAAUAUUGCACAAUGGGCGCAAGCCUGAUGCAGCGACGCCGCGUGAGGGAUGGAGGCCUUCGGGUUGUAAACCUCUUUUAUCGGGGAGCAAGCGUGAGUGAGUUUACCCGUUGAAUAAGCACCGGCUAACUACGUGCCAGCAGCCGCGGUAAUACGUAGGGUGCAAGCGUUAUCCGGAAUUAUUGGGCGUAAAGGGCUCGUAGGCGGUUCGUCGCGUCCGGUGUGAAAGUCCAUCGCUUAACGGUGGAUCCGCGCCGGGUACGGGCGGGCUUGAGUGCGGUAGGGGAGACUGGAAUUCCCGGUGUAACGGUGGAAU